Molecule: ribosomal RNA, 862 nt
Filed under: Oscillatoria tenuis dpnm27
Lineage: Bacteria; Bacillati; Cyanobacteriota; Cyanophyceae; Oscillatoriales; Oscillatoriaceae
Description: bacterial SSU rRNA
Rfam family: Bacterial small subunit ribosomal RNA
Source: RNAcentral
UGCAGUCGAACGGUGUCUUCGGACACAGUGGCGGACGGGUGAGUAACGCGUGAGAAUCUACCUUCAGGUCGGGGAUAACCCCUGGAAACGGGGGCUAAUACCGGAUAGGUCGAAAGAUGAAAGGUUAACUGCCUGAAGAGGAGCUCGCGUCUGAUUAGCUAGUAGGUGUGGUAAGAGCGCACCUAGGCGACGAUCAGUAGCUGGUCUGAGAGGAUGAGCAGCCACACUGGGACUGAGACACGGCCCAGACUCCUACGGGAGGCAGCAGUGGGGAAUUUUCCGCAAUGGGCGAAAGCCUGACGGAGCAAGACCGCGUGGGGGAGGAAGGCCUUUGGGUUGUAAACCCCUUUUGUUAGGGAAGAAAAAAAUGACGGUACCUAACGAAUCAGCCUCGGCUAACUCCGUGCCAGCAGCCGCGGUAAUACGGAGGAGGCAAGCGUUAUCCGGAAUUAUUGGGCGUAAAGCGUCCGUAGGUGGCCCGGCAAGUCUGCUGUCAAAGACCACAGCUCAACUGUGGAAAGGCAGUGGAAACUGCAAGGCUAGAGUGCGGUAGGGGUAGAGGGAAUUCCCAGUGUAGCGGUGAAAUGCGUAGAGAUUGGGAAGAACACCGGUGGCGAAAGCGCUCUACUGGGCCGCAACUGACACUGAUGGACGAAAGCUAGGGGAGCGAAUGGGAUUAGAUACCCCAGUAGUCCUAGCUGUAAACGAUGGAAACUAGGUGUAGCACGUAUCGACCCGUGCUGUAUCGGAGCUAACGCGUUAAGUUUCCCGCCUGGGGAGUACGCACGCAAGUGUGAAACUCAAAGGAAUUGACGGGGGCCCGCACAAGCGGUGGAGUAUGUGGUUUAAUUCGAUGCAACGC